CAGCAAGAUGGAACGUGAAUA
RNAcentral lists this microRNA (21 nucleotides) under Bombyx mori (domestic silkworm). Its description in RNAcentral is "bmo-miR-2820". Lineage: Eukaryota; Metazoa; Arthropoda; Insecta; Lepidoptera; Bombycidae. The record is from miRBase by way of RNAcentral.